GGUUAAGCGACUAAGCGUACACGGUGGAUGCCCUGGCAGUCAGAGGCGAUGAAGGACGUGCUAAUCUGCGAAAAGCGCCGGCGAGGUGAUAUGAACCUUUGACCCGGCGAUGUCCGAAUGGGGAAACCCAGUGUGUUCCGACACACUAUCGUUAACUGAAUACAUAGGUUAACGAGGCGAACCGGGGGAACUGAAACAUCUAAGUACCCCGAGGAAAAGAAAUCAACCGAGAUUCCCCCAGUAGCGGCGAGCGAACGGGGAGUAGCCCAGAGUCUGAAUCAGCUUGUGUGUUAGUGGAAGCGUCUGGAAAGUCGCACGGUACAGGGUGACAGUCCCGUACACGAAAAUGCACAGGUUGUGAACUCGAAGAGUAGGGCGGGACACGUGGUAUCCUGUCUGAAUAUGGGGGGACCAUCCUCCAAGGCUAAAUACUCCUGACUGACCGAUAGUGAACCAGUACCGUGAGGGAAAGGCGAAAAGAACCCCGGCGAGGGGAGUGAAAAAGAACCUGAAACCGUGUACGUACAAGCAGUGGGAGCACCUUCGUGGUGUGACUGCGUACCUUUUGUAUAAUGGGUCAGCGACUUAUAUUCUGUAGCAAGGUUAACCGUAUAGGGGAGCCGAAGGGAAACCGAGUCUUAACUGGGCGUUAAGUUGCAGGGUAUAGACCCGAAACCCGGUGAUCUAGCCAUGGGCAGGUUGAAGGUUGGGUAACACUAACUGGAGGACCGAACCGACUAAUGUUGAAAAAUUAGCGGAUGACUUGUGGCUGGGGGUGAAAGGCCAAUCAAACCGGGAGAUAGCUGGUUCUCCCCGAAAGCUAUUUAGGUAGCGCCUCGUGAACUCAUCUUCGGGGGUAGAGCACUGUUUCGGCUAGGGGGCCAUCCCGGCUUACCAACCCGAUGCAAACUACGAAUACCGAAGAAUGUUAUCACGGGAGACACACGGCGGGUGCUAACGUCCGUCGUGAAGAGGGAAACAACCCAGACCGCCAGCUAAGGUCCCAAAGUCAUGGUUAAGUGGGAAACGAUGUGGGAAGGCACAGACAGCCAGGAUGUUGGCUUAGAAGCAGCCAUCAUUUAAAGAAAGCGUAAUAGCUCACUGGUCGAGUCGGCCUGCGCGGAAGAUGUAACGGGGCUAAACCAUGCACCGAAGCUGCGGCAGCGACGCUUAUGCGUUGUUGGGUAGGGGAGCGUUCUGUAAGCCGUUGAAGGUGGCCUGUGAGGGUUGCUGGAGGUAUCAGAAGUGCGAAUGCUGACAUAAGUAACGAUAAAGCGGGUGAAAAGCCCGCUCGCCGGAAGACCAAGGGUUCCUGUCCAACGUUAAUCGGGGCAGGGUGAGUCGACCCCUAAGGCGAGGCCGAAAGGCGUAGUCGAUGGGAAACAGGUUAAUAUUCCUGUACUUGGUGUUACUGCGAAGGGGGGACGGAGAAGGCUAUGUUAGCCGGGCGACGGUUGUCCCGGUUUAAGCAUGUAGGCGGAGGUUCCAGGUAAAUCCGGUACCUUUUAACGCUGAGGUGUGAUGACGAGGCACUACGGUGCUGAAGUAACAAAUGCCCUGCUUCCAGGAAAAGCCUCUAAGCAUCAGGUAACAUCAAAUCGUACCCCAAACCGACACAGGUGGUCAGGUAGAGAAUACCAAGGCGCUUGAGAGAACUCGGGUGAAGGAACUAGGCAAAAUGGUGCCGUAACUUCGGGAGAAGGCACGCUGAUAUGUAGGUGAAGCCCCUGCGGGUGGAGCUGAAAUCAGUCGAAGAUACCAGCUGGCUGCAACUGUUUAUUAAAAACACAGCACUGUGCAAACACGAAAGUGGACGUAUACGGUGUGACGCCUGCCCGGUGCCGGAAGGUUAAUUGAUGGGGUUAGCGGUAACGCGAAGCUCUUGAUCGAAGCCCCGGUAAACGGCGGCCGUAACUAUAACGGUCCUAAGGUAGCGAAAUUCCUUGUCGGGUAAGUUCCGACCUGCACGAAUGGCGUAAUGAUGGCCAGGCUGUCUCCACCCGAGACUCAGUGAAAUUGAACUCGCUGUGAAGAUGCAGUGUACCCGCGGCAAGACGGAAAGACCCCGUGAACCUUUACUAUAGCUUGACACUGAACACUGGUCCUUGAUGUGUAGGAUAGGUGGGAGGCUUUGAAGUGUGGACGCCAGUCUGCAUGGAGCCGUCCUUGAAAUACCACCCUUUAAUGGCUGGUGUUCUAACGUAGACCCGUGAUCCGGGUUGCGGACAGUGUCUGGUGGGUAGUUUGACUGGGGCGGUCUCCUCCCAAAGAGUAACGGAGGAGCACGAAGGUUAGCUAAUCCUGGUCGGACAUCAGGAGGUUAGUGCAAUGGCAUAAGCUAGCUUGACUGCGAGAGUGACGGCUCGAGCAGGUGCGAAAGCAGGUCAUAGUGAUCCGGUGGUUCUGAAUGGAAGGGCCAUCGCUCAACGGAUAAAAGGUACUCCGGGGAUAACAGGCUGAUACCGCCCAAGAGUUCAUAUCGACGGCGGUGUUUGGCACCUCGAUGUCGGCUCAUCACAUCCUGGGGCUGAAGUAGGUCCCAAGGGUAUGGCUGUUCGCCAUUUAAAGUGGUACGCGAGCUGGGUUUAGAACGUCGUGAGACAGUUCGGUCCCUAUCUGCCGUGGGCGCUGGAGAAUUGAGGGGGGCUGCUCCUAGUACGAGAGGACCGGAGUGGACGCAUCACUGGUGUUCGGGUUGUCAUGCCAAUGGCACUGCCCGGUAGCUAAAUGCGGAAAAGAUAAGUGCUGAAAGCAUCUAAGCACGAAACUUGCCCCGAGAUGAGUUCUCCCUGAGACUUUAAGUCUCCUGAAGGAACGUUAAAGACGAUGACGUUGAUAGGUCGGGUGUGUAAGCGCAGCGAUGCGUUGAGCUAACCGAUACUAAUGAACCGUGAGGCUUAACCUU
Molecule: ribosomal RNA, 2905 nt
Filed under: Enterobacter roggenkampii
Lineage: Bacteria; Pseudomonadati; Pseudomonadota; Gammaproteobacteria; Enterobacterales; Enterobacteriaceae
Description: 23S ribosomal RNA
Rfam family: Bacterial large subunit ribosomal RNA
Source: RNAcentral